Molecule: transfer RNA, 108 nt
Rfam family: tRNA
About the family: Transfer RNA (tRNA) molecules are approximately 80 nucleotides in length. Their secondary structure includes four short double-helical elements and three loops (D, anti-codon, and T loops).
Source: Rfam
GGGCGUGUGGUCUAGUGGUAUGAUUCUCGCUUUGGGAGACUGCUCAGUUUACUGUGCGGAAAACUUCAAGCAUGCGAGAGGCCCUGGGUUCAAUUCCCAGCUCGCCCC